This 83-nucleotide transfer RNA is filed under the name Gonium pectorale. It matches the Rfam family "tRNA". Rfam says of the family: Transfer RNA (tRNA) molecules are approximately 80 nucleotides in length. Their secondary structure includes four short double-helical elements and three loops (D, anti-codon, and T loops). Lineage: Eukaryota; Viridiplantae; Chlorophyta; Chlorophyceae; Chlamydomonadales; Volvocaceae. The record is from Rfam by way of RNAcentral.
GCCCGGUUAGCUCAGUCGGUAGAGCGCAAGGCUCUUACAAAAGUGAAACCUUGUGGUCGUGGGUUCGAGCCCCACAUUGGGCG